CUGCUGGUAAAGGUCAUUACGUAUUACUUUACUUACCGGAGGAAAAGAAACCAACAGGGAUUGCCCCAGUAACGGCGAGUGAAGCGGCAACAGCUCAAAUUUGAAAUCUGGCCCCCGGGUCCGAGUUGUAAUUUGUAGAGGAUGCUUUUGGCGAGGUGCCUUCCGAGUUCCCUGGAACGGGACGCCAUAGAGGGUGAGAGCCCCGUCUGGUCGGACACCGAGCCUCUGUAAAGCUCCUUCGACGAGUCGAGUAGUUUGGGAAUGCUGCUCAAAAUGGGAGGUAUAUGUCUUCUAAAGCUAAAUAUUGGCCAGAGACCGAUAGCGCACAAGUAGAGUGAUCGAAAGAUGAAAAGCACUUUGAAAAGAGGGUUAAAAAGUACGUGAAAUUGUUGAAAGGGAAGCGCCUAUGACCAGACUUGGGCCCGGUGAAUCAUCCAGCGUUCUCGCUGGUGCACUUUGCCGGGCACAGGCCAGCAUCAGUUUGGCGCGGGGGAGAAAGGCUCUGGGAAUGUGGCUCCUCCGGGAGUGUUAUAGCCCACUGCGUAAUACCCUGCGCCGGACUGAGGUACGCGCAUUGCAAGGAUGCUGGCGUAAUGGUCAUCAGCGACCCGUCUUGAAACACGGACCAAGGAGUCGUCUUCGUAUGCGAGUGUUCGGGUGUCAAACCCCUACGCGUAAUGAAAGUGAACGCAGGUGAGAGCUUCGGCGCAUCAUCGACCGAUCCUGAUGUUCUCGGAUGGAUUUGAGUAAGAGCAUACGGGGCCGGACCCGAAAGAAGGUGAACUAUGCCUGUAUAGGGUGAAGCCAGAGGAAACUCUGGUGGAGGCUCGCAGCGGUUCUGACGUGCGAAUCGAUCGUCAAAUAUGGGCAUGGGGGCGAAAGACUAAUCGAACCUUCUAGUAGCUGGUUUCCGCCGAAGUUUCCCUCAGGAUAGCAGUGUUGAACUCAGUUUUAUGAGGUAAAGCGAAUGAUUAGGGACUCGGGGG
Molecule: ribosomal RNA, 986 nt
Filed under: Akanthomyces lecanii
Lineage: Eukaryota; Fungi; Ascomycota; Sordariomycetes; Hypocreales; Cordycipitaceae
Description: partial large subunit ribosomal RNA
Rfam family: Eukaryotic large subunit ribosomal RNA
Source: RNAcentral